Molecule: long non-coding RNA, 557 nt
Filed under: Pongo abelii (Sumatran orangutan)
Lineage: Eukaryota; Metazoa; Chordata; Mammalia; Primates; Hominidae
Description: lincRNA
Source: RNAcentral
CUUUCUGAGAACCUGUGCUUUAAUGAGUAAACUCACGCAGCUGCAACAAAUGCUGCCACCUCCUGGCAUCUUUUAAAAAGGCUGGAGUGCAGUGGCGUGAUCUCGGCUCACUGCAACCUCCGCCUCCCGGGUUCAAGUGAUUCUCCUGCCUCAGCCUCCCAAAUAGCUGUGAUUACAGGGAACACAUUGUUGCUUAGACACCCAAUAUGGAAAUUAUUCUUCUCCCUCAGUUCAAAUGAGAUAAAGAUCCUCCUCUCCUCAUAGUGAACAUGUGGUCAGAGUGUCCAUGUAACUAACUCCUGGUUAAGAGAAUAUGAGUUAUGAGUAGAAGGCACACGUUCAGCUUCUGGCUUCUGUCCUUGGAAAGAGUGAUGAUUCCAUCCUUUGCUGGCUUUCUUCCUUCCCACUGACUGGAAUGUGGACUUGGUAGUGAGCUACCUUGGACUAUGUGGAUGAAGACAAAGAUAAAAGGAACCAAGGACUCUGAUGAUUCUGUAGAGAAGAGGAACGAUAGCUGCUCAAACUUUCACAUGAAAGAAGAAUAAACUAUCAGAUUU